GGUAGUCUCCAAGGGCUAGGAUUACAGUCAUGCUACCACACCCAGUUCUACGUGUUUAUCUCAGAGUCGUCUGCAGCUCUGCUAACAUGACACCACUACAGAGUCGUCCGCUGCGUGUGAAGUGGGACUCUGCACUGUGUGCAAGAACCUGGAUUGUGAGCAUCAGGACUCAGGGCAGAAGAGAAUUGCAAGUAAAGAGUGAGAUGCCAGAAACCAUCCGGCCACUUUCAUCCAAUCACUUCCCACCACUUGCUCAUCGAGGUGGUGUGUGCUCCCAGACAGCCACCUGCUCAACUUUCCACUGCGUGGAAUCCCAGCUCCUUAAUCAAAACGAAACAAAAGGAUGUCUCUCUUCGGGGUGAUGAUACGAUGCACUUUCCUGCGCUCCGAGGUACCACCACGGAGAGAUGGGCAUCCUGGCGCCAGAGUGUCCUCUGAGGCUGGGCUGCCUGGGUCAGAAAGAGACAUCAGAGAUUAUAUAAUCAAGUCCUACGUUGGAUAGAGAAGAAAGCCUGAAGCCCAGAGCAGACUCGAGACUUGCCAAGGUCAUAUGAGUUUUUAAUGAACAUUUCAUUUGUGUAAAUAAAGAGGCAGCGCACAACAAGAACCACUCAUCAAAAGUCUGAUAUUUUCCUUAGAAAUAAAGACAAACAUUGUGCCUCUUAAAUGCGG
Molecule: long non-coding RNA, 672 nt
Filed under: Cricetulus griseus (Chinese hamster)
Lineage: Eukaryota; Metazoa; Chordata; Mammalia; Rodentia; Cricetidae
Description: lncRNA (ENSCGRG00015030223.1)
Source: RNAcentral